CCAGGACCCUUCAGGGUCUUCACUGAUGCCUGCAUGAAGCUGCAGGGAGAGGACCCCAACCCGAGCGCGCCGAGUCCCAAUUAAGAAGUGAAAAAUGAUAAAAGGCGGCGGGCGCGCGCGCGCGUCCUGCUCGYGCGCGGGUGCCUCGUGACGUACCCCCUCCCCAGAUGAGUUAAUGUUUUAUUUUAGUGUUUUUUAUGCUCUUACCGGAGGCGUGGUCUGUUUUAAUUCUCUGAUUGAACAUAAUUAAUGCUAUUUUUAUGUUAACACAAUCUGUGUCACUGUUUUAUUUUAUAAAAAACGUUCUUAAAACAAACAAAAAUAUCAAACAUAUUUAAAUUACUUUAUCUAAAUGUGCUAGUCCAGCAAAUAUUUCAUGUAGAUUAAAUAUGUUCAGUUAAUUAGAGAGUAAUAUAAAGUAAUUGGAGUGACGUAACACUUCUUGUAAUUCUUCUUUCGGCCACCAGGGGGCGACAGAGCCACACUUCUUAUCUACACAAGGGGGCGCUAAUGACAGUCUAUAAAUACUAGAAGCUCACGUUCCAGCGGCCCUUUUCACUUCCUGCCUGGUCCGGUUCGGUUCUGGACUCGGUCCGCUUCGGUUCAUCAUGUUGAAGAGUUUUAAAUCUUCUCUACCUCCUGACAUCGGGACGUCCGGUGAUCAGAUGAGACACCUGUGUGGAGCAGGUGGAGGAUGAUGGGUGUGUUGAGCUUCAGUCCAGAUGUUUGUUCUGCAGCAGCUAAAGGAGUUUGAAGCAGGCGAUUCAAACUGCAGGAAGGCUGAAUCGUGCAGAGCUGUCAUGGUGACACCUGUCCAGAGAAUCCAGCAGCUGAGACAGACUGUUGAAUACAGAUGGAGAACGAUCUGCCACCGGAUCUCAUCUGUUCAGCACCAGAAUCAGCUGAAUGGUUCAAGUUUGACUCUUUAAUGUAGAGAAGAUGUGAAAAAAUGGAUAUUUUAAGAGCCUGAUGGGAUUUGUGGCUUCAUACAAACUGUUUAGUUGGAAAAAUGUUUAAGAUGUUUCUCAGACAAUAAGGUUGCAGAACUGASUUAAGCAAAUAAAUUAUUUAAAAUAUUUAUUUUUCUCUAUUCAUGUCAUUUAAAAAUAUGUGCAUUGUGUGAAACUCAUCAUUCCAGUUGUCAGUUGUGUUUUUAUUUUUUUUUUUUUGUCAUCUUGAUGUGAAAUGUGUUGAUAAAACAGUAAAAACAGCAAAACCUUUGUGGUUUUGUGCAGUUUGUCAAGUCUUACCUGCAGUUCAUAUAAUCAAGUUAAACGUAAUGUAGAAAAGAUUUGAUGUUUCCUGUCUCCUACCUGCUCUGAGCUGGGGGACGUAUCAGCCUGUUUUGUUUUUGACUGUACAGCACCUUGUGAAUCUAUUUCUGUGAUUCUACUCUACACUUUAUAAAUUAAACAUUACUAACUUAAUGUUGCAAA
Austrofundulus limnaeus is the source of this 1436-nucleotide long non-coding RNA. RefSeq lists it as uncharacterized. The record is from RefSeq and is a predicted model, not a curated record. The transcript is spliced from 5 exons. NCBI's taxonomy places the organism in Eukaryota, Metazoa, Chordata, Actinopteri, Cyprinodontiformes, Rivulidae.